GUGGCUUCCGGAGCUAACGCGUUAAGUCGACCGCCUGGGGAGUACGGCCGCAAGGUUAAAACUCAAAUGAAUUGACGGGGGCCCGCACAAGCGGUGGAGCAUGUGGUUUAAUUCGAUGCAACGCGAAGAACCUUACCUACUCUUGACAUCCAGAGAACUUAGCAGAGAUGCUUUGGUGCCUUCGGGAACUCUGAGACAGGUGCUGCAUGGCUGUCGUCAGCUCGUGUUGUGAAAUGUUGGGUUAAGUCCCGCAACGAGCGCAACCCUUAUCCUUUGUUGCCAGCGGUUCGGCCGGGAACUCAAAGGAGACUGCCAGUGAUAAACUGGAGGAAGGUGGGGAUGACGUCAAGUCAUCAUGGCCCUUACGAGUAGGGCUACACACGUGCUACAAUGGCGCAUACAAAGAGAAGCGACCUCGCGAGAGCAAGCGGACCUCAUAAAGUGCGUCGUAGACCGGAUCGGAGUCUGCAACGCGACUCCAUGAAGUCGGAAUCGCUAGUAAUCGUAGAUCAGAAUGCUACGGUGAAUACGUUCCCGGGCCUUGUACACACCGCCCGUCACACCAUGGGAGUGGGUUGCAAAAGAAGUAGGUAGCUUAACCUUCGGGAGGGCGCUUACCACUUUGUGAUUCAUGACUGGGGUG
This 643-nucleotide ribosomal RNA is filed under the name uncultured Gammaproteobacteria bacterium. RNAcentral's name for it is "bacterial SSU rRNA". It matches the Rfam family "Bacterial small subunit ribosomal RNA", at positions 839 to 1482 of the family's 1533-position model. Lineage: Bacteria; Pseudomonadati; Pseudomonadota; Gammaproteobacteria. The record is from RNAcentral.